Molecule: signal recognition particle RNA, 299 nt
Filed under: Jaculus jaculus (lesser Egyptian jerboa)
Lineage: Eukaryota; Metazoa; Chordata; Mammalia; Rodentia; Dipodidae
Description: Metazoan signal recognition particle RNA (ENSJJAG00000005998.1)
Rfam family: Metazoan signal recognition particle RNA
About the family: The signal recognition particle (SRP) is a universally conserved ribonucleoprotein. It is involved in the co-translational targeting of proteins to membranes.
Source: RNAcentral
ACUGGGCGCAGUGGCGCGUGCCUGUAGUCCCAGCUACUCAGGAGGCUGAGGCGGGAGGAUCACUUGAGUCCAGGAGUUCUGGGCUGCAGUGAGCUACGCCAAUCGGGUGUCUGCACUAAGUUCGGCAUCAAUAUGGUGACCUCCCGGGAGCGGGGGACCACCAGGUUGCCUAAGGAGGGGUGAACCGGCCCAGGUCAGAAAUGGAGCAGGUCAAAACUCCCGUGCUGAUCAGUAGUGGGAUCGCACCUGUGAAUAGCCACUGCACUCCAGCCUGGGCAACACAGUGAGACCCUACCUUU